UCUAAGGGGCAGCGAGGGCUGACCCCAGUCCCUCCCUAGCCUCGGGCUUUCCUUGAGUUUUUGCCUCCGUGUGAGGCUUAACAGUGCAAAAGCAGCAGGUUUGAAAAGCUGCAAUGGAAUGAGAAAAGAUGGCCUUUGGUGAUUAAUAGCGCAGUCCUCUGCAUGCCUAUGCAGACAUCAGUCCCAUUGAAUUCAAUAGGCCUACUCUGGGGAAUGAUGGAAGAAGGCCUUCAAGCUGUACCUCCAUCCCAGCCUGGAAGGGUAUCAAAAUGGGAUGGACUCAGUAGGAGCAUUUGGAAAUCCUAGCUACGUUGUCUUCAUCUGCCUCUGUUUUAUUUAGAUGACUAAAUAUUACCCCAUUAGCGUACUAUAACCGUUGCUCAUUUUCCUCUCAGGCAUUCUAUAUAUCAUAUAUACCGCAUUACUUAAUUACCGUCUUUCGCACUUACACACCGAUCUGUCCAUUGGCUUUUAGAUCACAUUCUUAAUUGCAAUAAGCAAAGUAGCUUUUUGUUAUGGCACAGGGAAAGGGUUGGUCAGCUGCCCACUGUUGGCAUUAGAGCACACAGAGGGCUGGCCAAUGAUUUCUUCUCUCUCUCUCUCUCUCUCUCUCUCUCUCUCUCUUCUCUCUCCUUUAAUGAUCAAUUACCACCAGAAUAGGUUUCUAAUGGCCACACUAUUAGAGAGUAAUAGACUUGGCUAUAAUAGUUCCUGUUCACAAUAUUUCUCAAACUAGACACUGAACAAACCCCACGCCAGCAAAUGUUUGGCAUGUUUGCCUCAUGGCCCGGUAUUUAAAAGGCAAUAUUCUCUCACACACCCGCAGCAGGCCUGGCCCUACCCUUUGGCAGAAUGAAGCAGCUGCCUCAGGCGGCAGGUGCUGGGGGCAGUACCUUCUGAGCUGGGCUUUGACCUCCAGUGCAGUGGAAGAUGUUCUACCAUCACCAGUCAGUCUGUCAGCCUGGUUGGAUUCUGCGCAUCUCAUCCCCUUGCCUCAGACAGCAAAAUGACUUGGACGACAAAGAUUGCUUGGAGUCUAGAGAAGGAAGUGUCCUGAAAAACAUAUGCAAGGAGAGAGGAAAUGGACUUGGACCUUCCUAUGUAUACACACUUAUAUGUGAACCCUGGGACAGAGGUCGCCUUGCCAGAUGGAGGAACUCGCGCUGAAAAGUGAACAAUGCAUAAAAACGUAUCAUCUAAAGCCAUAGGCCGCCACAAUAUAAAUACAGCAAACAAUCGUUUUGGCAUACUCAGCAAGCAAAUAGAUUUACAAAAGCAAACAUUCAAAAAUGAUACUUUCUCCUGCAGUGUAAACUACACAUUGCCCUUCUAGAGGAGGCUAUAUAGGUGCUAAGAAAUAUGCCAAAUGUAGAAUUACAUUCUGGACCCACAUACAAAAUUUUGUUCUGAUGCUCUCAGUGGUGUUUAAAAAUAAGGUCAUGAACAACAUUGUAAACACACAUGAAAUACUGAGGAAACAAGUUGAAUUAAAUAUUUCUCAGGUUUUUAUUGUGCAAUUUCAAUUCAUUUAACUAAUGCUUCCCAGGAAACAGUCUGAAGUGAUUUACUAAAAGAUAAAGAACCAGCUUCUUUUAAAACUGCUGCUUUUUCUUAACGGUUGGUUGGUUGGUUUUUAGGCUGCAUUUUCUUGGUUUUUAGGUUGCCUUUUUAGGCUAUAUCUGUAUCUUGGGGGGGCGGGGGCGUUGUUUUGUUUUUGCUUACUGUGUUGAUUUUGUUUGAUCCGCUUUGUGUAUGUUGCGGAAAAUGCAGGCUAUAAAUUCAUUGAUAAUAAAUAAGUAAAUGCUGAUAGGCCUCAAUUUACUCAACCCUCAGCCUGCUAAUAAUCAUUAGAACAGCCAUCAGGAGA
Podarcis muralis (Common wall lizard) is the source of this 1867-nucleotide long non-coding RNA. RefSeq lists it as uncharacterized. The record is from RefSeq and is a predicted model, not a curated record. NCBI's taxonomy places the organism in Eukaryota, Metazoa, Chordata, Lepidosauria, Squamata, Lacertidae.